CCAAAUAUUAUAAAGUAAGAAAUCAAAAAUCAUUUCCCAAGAUACAUAGUUUUAACAUGCACUACCAUUUACUAAAAAAAUCGUAUUUCUUUCUCCUAUCGAUUCUUAACUAAUAUGUUACGAACUCAAGAUGGAUAAUAUAACUUCAUUGAUGAUCGAGAAAAGAGAGAUAAUAGUAAAGAAGAGAUAUCCAGAAACAGAGGAGGAAAGAAGAAACUUAGAGAAGAAAAUAACAUGGCAUUACAGAUUGCAUAACUCAUUCCAUAUUCUCUACUGUCUCUAUAUAUAUGACUAAUUAGUUGUAAUCAACUCCAUGUAAUCAGCUAGUGCAUGAGGUCUUCGUUUCUGACAUGGAGACUGAUAUGGCACCUGCCGGACUAAAAGCUGUUGCUCUACAGUAUUCGUAGUAUGAUACUAAAUAAAGCUAAAUAACAUAUAAUUAGGUAAAUAACAUAGUAAUUCAACUCUAAUAACUUUUUAUUUUGUACACAUGAGCACUAUCAUUAUAUACUUUUAUCAUUUGUCAUUGUUGUUACAUAUUUUUAUAAUUUUAAUAAUUUGUUUGAUAAUUUGUCAUUAAAUAUACACAUUUUUAUCACCCAACCUAAGUUAUUAUUUUGGUGACUCCUUAUUUUUAGAAUUAAUUUUAUUGUUUUUAAAAUCUGAAUUUUUAUAGAGAAUUGAGUUGUUGAGAUAAAACUUAAGAUUUCACUUGUAACUCAAUUUCAUGUACAAUUUCAUGUAAAAAUUUAGAUUUAAAAAAAAAAUUAGGGAAAUGAUCCAAAAAGUGCAGUUACCAAAAAAUGCAUAUCAGAUGAAGCAGACAGAUCCGAGAUCAGUAAUAUAAUCAGAGAUAUCCAACAAAAUACGAGAGGCUUCAAAGAAAAACAUUUUAAACAUCUACCCGGAACUGCUAAUCGAUUGGCUCAUGUUAUUGCAUCUGAAAGUUUAAAAAUAGGAGUAGAAGUGUACUAGUAGGUGCGUUAACGGAUUUCGCUGGGAUGUCAUGGGGCCUUGGGACACAUCGGGAACGUGAACUGGAUUGAACGAGGGCGUCGUUGUUCUUGAAUCGGUGUAGGAGUGCAGAAAUGGAGGUCACGUGGGAAAGGGGUCUAUGCUCGAGGAACUGAUUCGUCAAAGGAGAAAAUAGAGAGUUCUAGAAGAUGAUCUUAUAGGUUUCAAAUCAGGCUGGAUUAAAUUUACUGUUUUACUGUUUUUUUUUCAAGGUUUCCUUUUGUGUUUUUCUAUGCUACUUUUUGUUGCCG
This 1265-nucleotide long non-coding RNA is filed under the name Gossypium raimondii (Peruvian cotton). RNAcentral describes it as "long non-coding RNA (GRAI_LNC001355)". Lineage: Eukaryota; Viridiplantae; Streptophyta; Magnoliopsida; Malvales; Malvaceae. The record is from RNAcentral.